AAAGAGCAGGAAAGCCAAGUAAGAAAAUACUUAAAUACAUAAAAGUAAAAUAAAAUAAAACAAAUACUCUGUUCACUAGAAAAGCCUGCAUAGGGAUAGACUCCUGUUAGAUUCCCCUGAGGAAGUUCUCAUUUGAACGAAACGCGUAGGGCUUUUCUAGUGUACAGAGUAUUUGUUUUAUUUUAUUUGACUUUUAUGUAUUUAAGUAUUUUUUACUUGGCUUUCCUGCUCUUUCU
This 236-nucleotide microRNA precursor is filed under the name Pelobates cultripes (western spadefoot toad). The record is from RNAcentral. Lineage: Eukaryota; Metazoa; Chordata; Amphibia; Anura; Pelobatidae.